Molecule: long non-coding RNA, 3087 nt
Organism: Leopardus geoffroyi (Geoffroy's cat)
Lineage: Eukaryota; Metazoa; Chordata; Mammalia; Carnivora; Felidae
Exons: 2
Source: RefSeq, a predicted model, not a curated record
UAUGCAAUUUUAUGCAAGCUCACUAGGUGGUUCUUUUACCAAUGCUUCCUUUAGAGAUAUCAGGGAGGAUGGGCUGUGGAAAAUAAUGAGUCUACUGGAGCAAUAUGGACAUUUCAUGGCAGCUUUCUUAAGAGCAUAUAAGGUACUUGUGGUAAAUUUUCACAAUAACGGUCCCAGAUGAAUUCCUCCUCUGGUAUCCAUGCCCUCAUGUGGUUCCCUUUCACAUGAUAGCCAUGUGACUUGUGGUGGCCAAUGCGAUGUCAGCAAUCAUGAUGUAAUCAGAAGCUUGUUCCAGGCUUGUGCUUGCUCUCAUGGAACACAGCCUUCCCAGAUGUCCCUGCUGAGCACAAUCCACAACCAAGCCACCAGCUAAGUGAAGCUGCGUAAGUGAGCCCAAGUGAAACUAGUCAAAGAACCACCUGGCCAACCCACAGAAUUGUGGCACUUAAACUGUUGUUUUCAAUUAAUGAGUUCUGUGGCAAUAGAUAACCAAUAAAACAACUUAUUCAUGCCUGUUUCCCCAGAACCUACUAUAUUGCCUGGCAUAUUUCUGCCCUCAAGGCAUUCUUAUGGACAUAAGCUUUAUCUUCCCAACAACAACCCUGUCAGCAGAAUUCUUCUAGAUUAAAUGUGGGCCUGCUGUGACUUCACCUCCAGCCCUGUUUGGGACUCCACCAUCAAAGCAUCUCUGAACAGCUUGCUUUCUGCAAUAGUUGAAGAACGAGUAGCGUGUGGAUGGCUGAGAGGUGGAUAAGCGGGGGAUCGAAUCAAGCCCAGAUGUCAGUCAGUCUCCCCCCGACCCAAGCUGAGGGCUGGGACAGGACUCAGGGGAAGAGUCUCCAGUGGGGGGGUGGUUCCCAGGAGCUGAACAUAAACAGCCCCGGUGCUGACUGCCCACCAGGCAUGGCUGCACUUGUGUCUGCCCCACUGCAGGAGUGUCUGCAGAGGCAGCUGGAGCCCAAAGUGGUCUUUUGUCUCCCCUCUCUCUGAAGUCAUCCCAGGACACAGGUGUGCAUCCCCCCCAGCCAGCCGACAGAGAAGAUGAAUCAGCUUCCCUGAAAGACGUGCCCCAGAGCAGUCUGUCAGCUGAAACUUGUCUGAAGGAGCACGCUUCCCUCCUGACCACAGCUAAUGAAAAUGUGUGGCUUGCCCGGGGAAGAAUCUAUGCUAUUCUUUAAAGGAACAAUGCAAACCACAGAUGUGCAGCAUCUGGCAUAUGAUAGGGAUUUCCCUGAAUGAGAACAGUAACUGGACCAGCCAGCUUGUGAGAUGCCUUUGGGUCCAGGCAUGUAUUUUCCUCCUUUUGGCUCUGGAUUUGGGUUCUCAGAAGUUCAGGUGAAGCCCAAGUCACUAUCACUUCAUGGUUUUCAUUAUAUACGCCCCCCUCCUCAUUUAUCUUCUAUGGUCUUGAUGAAUAUGCUUGAGAUGCCCCCAAACCUAUAUCCCUGCCUCUAAGUCUUUGCUCACGUCAUUCUCCAUUUCUGUACAGCCUCCCCUUUUUUUAUGACCAUCUAAUUUGUCAGGACUCUUUCCAUGGAGGUUAAGUGAAGCCCAAUCCGACUUGCCUGAAGCAAAAAACUACAUUUAUUGAAUAACGUAACUUAAAAUCCAGGACCACUUGACUUCAAAGAUAGGUACACCUGGAUCUAGGCGUUCAAAUGAGUUUUCCAGGACCUGGUCUUAGUCUAUUUCUUCAGGUCUAGACUCUGUCUUUUACAUUGGCCCGAGUUUCAGGUAGGCGCUGAAUGGGCUCCAUUCUUGCAUGUUACCAUGUUAACUCCCGCGUGGAAAAAGUGAUCCUGGGGAUAGGCCUGAUUGGACCACUUGGGACACAUUCAUGUUUGCCUAUGAACUAAUCACUGUAAUCGGGGCGAUGGGAUUCCUGUUAUUGUCCAGGCCUGUGUCCCUUGCUCAGCCCUAAGGCUAGGGAGUUUGGUCUUCACCCAGAGGAAAUCAGGAUCCUAUCAUAAGAAUAAGGUUGAAUGGAUGUAGGACAAGUAACAUCAGUAGACACACAACCCAUAGCUUGCUUUUCAAGCUCAAGUUCAUCCCAGGCCACAUUCCUCUCUCUUGCCCCUGCGACACUUUUACAGUUGAAUAUGGGAUUGUAUAUGCCUCCCAGCUUCUCCCGCUGGGACUAGAGGGCAUUCCUGGUAAUAGAAGACAUGGGGUGGGGCGUGGGUAGUACAUGGGGGGCAGGAAUCACAUUGUGUUUCCUUUCCUUGUUUGAAACCCUGUGAAAUCAAAUGGAGACGAGGCAGCUUUGAAUCAGGGGGAAAUAGUUACAGCAGUUAUUAGUUUGGAGCAGGGAAGAGGGGCGCCUGGGUGGUGCAGUCGGCUAAGCGUCCGACUUCAGCCAGGUCACGAUCUCGCGGUCCGUGAGUUCGAGCCCCGCGUCGGGCUCUGGGCUGAUGGCUCAGAGCCUGGAGCCUGUUUCCGAUUCUGUGUCUCCCUCUCUCUCUGCCCCUCCCCCGUUCAUGCUCUGUCUCUCUCUGUCCCAAAAAUAAAUAAACGUUGGAGCAGGGAAGAAACGGGCCUUAGUGACAAGGACUGGGGCCAGUUCUACCUGUAUGUAUGAGUGCUUCUCCAUCUCAGGCCCCCCAGUGGCUGCCUCCAGGUUCAGAUGGGAUGCCAAGAUUUGCUGUGAUUUGGGGCCAGCCGAACACUUGUUGAGUCUGUGUGAAUCAUUGAGCUUUUGCCGGUCAGUGCCGUAUGCCUUUUAUUUUUCUUAUACCACCCUGUGUAUCUAGUACUUUGGUGAGCACCUAACAGUUACCCGACGGGUUUUAUUGUGAAAUUGCGAUGUAGGUGCCAGCGCUCAAGCCUGGAAAUCAAAAGGUGUGGGUUGUAAUCAAGUCUCUUGACUUUUGCCGAGCUAAGUAGCCAUACCAAGAGAGCACAGAGCAGGAUAACAGCUAUUUUUGUCUAGUGCUUCUGGUUCCCAAUACUUACAUUGCUGGCUCACUUACAAUGACCCUGUGAGAUAAUCCAAAUGCUAUGGGGUAAGCUUCAAGGUUAAGUCUAAGGCAAAAACUGGGUGUAAUCAAAAUUUCCCUGGAAACUCCUAUAAAUCAUCCAUAAAGUACA